AACAAGGAGGACAAGGUGAAGAAAGGACAAGGGCACAGUGACUUGCAGUGUGUGUCAUGUAACAUUAUUACAACAUCUAUAUCAUGGGUCCAUAAUUUUGAGUAAGUCAUUCAUCAACCACUUUAUCUGUACUGGAAACAAUUUCUGAGAGGGAUGAAGUGAUGGAAGAUAAUGAGCCAGAGGGUGGAACGGAAGAGAAAGGGAAAGAAAUAAAGAAAAAGGCAGAAUGAAAAAGGACUAGAACUUGCAAUAGAAGAAAAAGUUGAGGAAAUGAAGAGGAAGAAAUUGAAGAUGAAAAGAAGAGCUCUGGGAGGAAAAAAUUCCAUUUGUAAGAUGUGUGGACAAAAGAAAAACAGCCAUAGAGUGCCAAUGUGGAGUGGAAUAAGUCAGUAUGACUUAAACAUGGUCAAUUGAAGUGUUUGAAUGCCCCUCCAGAAAGCAGAACAAUCUUUGAAUUUGCAGGAAAGAGUAUAAAAUUUGCUGUUAAAAUAUCAUAACAGCUAGACAAAGAUUAAAUAACAACUACAUGUACAUCUAAAGAAUUCUUUUGUCAUAAUAGUGAUUCAUGUGCUAGUACAUGUGACAAGCGCUAUAACGACCUAAUAUAAGUGUGUUUUAGGAGCAUGUUGACUCUAUUGUAAAUGUAUUGACUCCUUAUAUGACCUCAUUUAUAUAUAACAUUAUAUGAAUGGUAGUGUAGUGACUUGA
Molecule: long non-coding RNA, 708 nt
Organism: Saccostrea echinata
Lineage: Eukaryota; Metazoa; Mollusca; Bivalvia; Ostreida; Ostreidae
Exons: 4
Source: RefSeq, a predicted model, not a curated record